RNAcentral lists this ribosomal RNA (420 nucleotides) under uncultured bacterium. Its description in RNAcentral is "bacterial SSU rRNA". It matches the Rfam family "Bacterial small subunit ribosomal RNA", at positions 355 to 774 of the family's 1533-position model. The record is from RNAcentral.
UAAGGAAUAUUGCUCAAUGGGAGAAAUCCUGAAGCAGCAACGCCGCGUGGAGGAUGAAGGGUCUAUGACUUGUAAACUCCUGUAAAGAAGGAAAAAAUUCCCAUUAGAUGGGAGAUGAUGGUACUUCUGGAGUAAGCCCCGGCUAACUACGUGCCAGCAGCCGCGGUAAUACGUAGGGGGCAAGCGUUGUCCGGAUUUACUGGGUGUAAAGGGUGCUCAGGCGGAUUUGUAAGUCAGAGGUGAAAUCUUACAGCUUAACUGUGAAACUGCCUUUGAUACUGCAAGCCUAGAGUAUGGAAGAGAGUGAUGGAAUAUCUGGUGUAGCAGUGAAAUGCGUAGAUAUCAGAUAGAACACCAAUGGCGAAGGCAGUCACUUGGUCCAUUACUGACGCUAAAGCACGAAAGCAUGGGUAGCAAACA